GGCUGGUCCAAGUGCAGUGGUGUUUACAACUAAUUGAUUGCAACCAGUUACAGAUUUCUUUGUUCUUUCUCUACUCCCACUGCUUCACUUGAUUGCACUUAA
This 102-nucleotide Y RNA is filed under the name Carlito syrichta (Philippine tarsier). Its description in RNAcentral is "Y RNA (ENSTSYG00000035802.1)". It matches the Rfam family "Y RNA". From Rfam's summary of the family: Y RNAs are components of the Ro ribonucleoprotein particle (Ro RNP), in association with Ro60 and La proteins. The Y RNAs and Ro60 and La proteins are well conserved, but the function of the Ro RNP is not known. In humans the RNA component can be one of four small RNAs -- hY1, hY3, hY4 and hY5. The record is from Rfam by way of RNAcentral. Lineage: Eukaryota; Metazoa; Chordata; Mammalia; Primates; Tarsiidae.